CUUUAUGAUUAAUAAUAGUGAGCACUUGUCAGAUAUGUGUUGCAAAUAUUUAUUUUCCAUUCUAUAGUUUGCCUACUCAGUUUUAAACAUUGUCUUUUGAAGAACAGGUUUUAAUUUUAAUCUUUUUCUUUUGUGAUUAAUACUUUCUGGAUCCUUUAUAGGAGUGUUUGCUGACACCAAGCUCAGAAAGAUUUUCUCCUGUUUUCUUUUAGAAGCUUUGUCAUUUAGCUUGUGCAUUUAUUUCUGAUUGAUUUUUAAUUUCGUGUGUGCUAUGAUGGUAGGCAAAGCAAGUGCCAACGGGGAAUCAGGAUAUGGUUGUGGAGAGGGAGCCUGAGAAACUGCUGCCACAUCCAGGGAAUGCAGCAGGUGUGCAAAUUCCCACUCCAGCUCUGAGGAGGACUCUUCUGAGGCCUUGUAACGGCAGUGAAUACACUUAAUAUCUUUUAAUGGGAAUUUUUUGGUGGGAACGAGAGUGCUGUGAGCAGCCAGUAAUUCCAGUUCCUAUAUUGCAUAUUAAAGUUGCUACUGUUUAAAAGCUCAUAGUUGGAGCUUAGUUGGGUAGGUAUUCAAACCAACAGCGCCCCCUUGAUGCUUUUAGCUGAGUGUCUUCUGGGGCCGAAAGCAUUUACUUUGGGGAAAAUGAAUGUUUAAAGCAAGAUGAAGUGGCUGCAUACCGCAGCUAUAACUAAUAGAGUAGGUCCCCCCGUCCCCUGGUUCUGCUUUGUUGGCUUUUGGAACUGAAGUCAUGAUUAAAAAGUUUUUAGCUCUGAGUAUUGUUAUUAUGCAGCUAGAGUUGAAAUUCUUAGACCUGUGCAAAAUAGACCAGAGCGAAAGCAUUUGCCAAGAUUGGUUUUACUAAUCAGGAAUGAAAGGUGGAGGGGAUUCGGAAAUAGUCAGCUACCAUUACAGUUCCAGUCUUAAAGGGUACAGACUUGCAAAUGGAGAGGCUUUAUUUUCAAAUCCACUGGUUAGCUUCCAGGAAACCAAAGUCUUUGGGUUCUG
This 1002-nucleotide non-coding RNA is filed under the name Pteropus alecto (black flying fox). RNAcentral describes it as "Eukaryotic small subunit ribosomal RNA". It matches the Rfam family "Eukaryotic small subunit ribosomal RNA", at positions 109 to 1116 of the family's 1831-position model. The record is from Rfam by way of RNAcentral. Lineage: Eukaryota; Metazoa; Chordata; Mammalia; Chiroptera; Pteropodidae.